UCCGAGCGUCAUUUCAACCCUCAAGCACAGCUUGGUCUUGGGCUUCGCUGCUAACCCAGCGGGUCUUAAAAUCAGUGGCGGUGCGUCGGGCCCUGAGCGCAGUACAUCUCCUCGCUAUAGGGUCCCGGUGGAUACUGGCCAUCAACCCCCAAUUUUCUAUGGUUGACCUCGGAUCAGGUAGGGAUACCCGCUGAACUUAA
RNAcentral lists this unclassified non-coding RNA (200 nucleotides) under soil metagenome. Its description in RNAcentral is "partial contains internal transcribed spacer 2 and large subunit ribosomal RNA". The record is from RNAcentral.